AUUGAACGCUGGCGGCAGGCUUAACACAUGCAAGUCGAGCGAGCGGCGGACGGGUGAGUAAUGUCUGGGAAACUGCCUGAUGGAGGGGGAUAACUACUGGAAACGGUAGCUAAUACCGCAUACCAUCAGAUGUGCCCAGAUGGGAUUAGCUAGGAGGUGGGGUAAUGGUUCACCUAGGCGACGAUCCCUAGCUGGGCUGAGAGGAUGACCAGCCACACUGGAACUGAGACGCGGUCCAUCAUCCUACGGGAGGCAGCAGUGGUGAAUAGUGCACAAAGGGCGCAAGCCUGAUGCAGCAAUGCCGCGUGUCUGAAGAAGGCCAUCGGGAUGUAAAGCACUUUCAGCGAUGGGGCGUUACGCGCAGAAGAAGCACCGGCUAACUCCGUGCCAGCAGCCGCGGUAAUUC
This 406-nucleotide ribosomal RNA is filed under the name uncultured bacterium. Its description in RNAcentral is "partial 16S ribosomal RNA". It matches the Rfam family "Bacterial small subunit ribosomal RNA", at positions 30 to 526 of the family's 1533-position model. The record is from RNAcentral.